Molecule: ribosomal RNA, 253 nt
Filed under: uncultured bacterium
Lineage: Bacteria
Description: partial 16S ribosomal RNA
Rfam family: Bacterial small subunit ribosomal RNA
Source: RNAcentral
UACGUAGGCAGCAAGCGUUGUUCGGAGUUACUGGGCGUAAAGGUUGCGUAGGCUGCUUCUUAAGUCUGGUGUGAAAUCUCCCGGCUCAACUGGGAGGGUGCGCCGGAUACUGAGGGGCUAGAGUGUGGGAGAGGAAAGUGGAAUUCCUGGUGUAGCGGUGAAAUGCGUAGAUAUCAGGAGGAACACCGGUGGUGUAAACGGCUUUCUGGACCAUAACUGAAGCUGAGGCACGAAAGCGUGGGUAGCAAACAGG